RNAcentral lists this ribosomal RNA (460 nucleotides) under uncultured bacterium. Its description in RNAcentral is "partial 16S ribosomal RNA". It matches the Rfam family "Bacterial small subunit ribosomal RNA", at positions 338 to 795 of the family's 1533-position model. The record is from RNAcentral.
CCUACGGGAGGCAGCAGUGAGGAAUAUUGGUCAAUGGGCUUACGCCUGAACCAGCCAAGUCGCGUGAGGGAAGACUGCCCUAUGGGUUGUAAACCUCUUUUGUCAGGGAGCAAUUGGCGCUACGUGUAGCGUUAUCGAGAGUACCUGAAGAAAAAGCAUCGGCUAACUCCGUGCAAGCAGCCGCGGUAAUACGGAGGAUGCGAGGGUUAUCCGGAUUUUUUGGGUUAAAAGGGUGCGUAGGCGGAAUGCCAAGUCAGCGGUAAAGUCGCGGGGCUCAACCUCGCUCCGCCGUUGAAACUGGCGGUCUUGAGUGGGCGAGAGGUAUGCGGAAUGCGUGGUGUAGCGGUGAAAUGCAUAGAUAUCACGCAGAACUCCGAUUGCGAAGGCAGCAUACCGGCGCCCAACUGACGCUGAAGCACGAAAGCGUGGGUAUCGAACAGGAUUAGAUACCCCUGUAGUC